CGGCGGUGAGAGCGCCGAAUCCUAACCACUAGACCACCAGGGAAAGCUACUUGAAUCAAAACAGUUUGACUUUUGUAUUGAUUACUCAGCGCUGAGUUAAAACUGUAAGUUUAACAUGUCGCUCUUUCUUUGAAAGAAAACAAUAACCACAGAUAAACGUUAUCAGUAUCUUUGCAAUGACACAUCCCAAAACGGUGUGUACGGCCUCCACCUUUCAGCACUGUAGGCUUUCUGUCUGGUAAACAAUCACACUUUAGUGGAAGUUCAGUGAUGCUUGUGGAGACUUUAACGUUAGCUGUAUGGUUUACAGCUAGCCAGCUCUGGCCUUUAGUCCUUCGGAGUUCAAAGUCAAGCUGUUCCACUCUGAUGUUGAUGAAAGACCGACUGGCAUGCAGAAACAGCGGCAGGAGAGGGUUGGGCGGGUGGAACCACCGCUAAAAGUCGCCAAAACAGACAACUCUGAAGGUGGGUUUUCGAUGAUACGUAGGGUUGACAGGAGGAGCCAAGGACAAAGUGUUGCAUCAACAAUCAGGUUAUGAGAAUCUAUCGUCUGAAGCUGAGGCAAUAUCCUUCCAUUCAAGGACUGUACCUGAAAUGAUACAAGAUCACUGAUGAAGUGUUCAUUACAAAAGUUCUUAUAAACCAGUGGACCAGAAGAAGAAUUCCUCACUACCGGCAGACUGUCAGAACAUCAUUUAUAACAGUUAUCUGUGGGACUGAUACCAGUGGAAGAGCUGGUCAUGUCUAAUAGUUAUCUAUGGGACUGAUACCAGUGGAAGAGCUGGUCAUGUCUAAUAGUUAUCUAUGGGACUGAUACCAGAGCUG
RNAcentral lists this long non-coding RNA (825 nucleotides) under Salmo salar (Atlantic salmon). Its description in RNAcentral is "lncRNA (ENSSSAG00000105350.1)". The record is from RNAcentral. Lineage: Eukaryota; Metazoa; Chordata; Actinopteri; Salmoniformes; Salmonidae.